GCCAGGUGACUGCGUGGCUAUUUUUGGACCUCGGGCAUUGCUGCGAUCAUCUACAGGGUAAUCUAGUUACCCUAGAGGUAUUUCUCUAAUCCUCAAGUUUUAGAUUUAAUUUUAGAUUAAAUAUCAAAUAAUAAAAAUCAGAUCUAAUAGAUCUUAGAUUUAAAAUAAAGUAGGAUAUAUUUUUUUUAAAAUAUUUCACCCC
RNAcentral lists this long non-coding RNA (202 nucleotides) under Elaeis guineensis (African oil palm). RNAcentral's name for it is "long non-coding RNA (EGUI_LNC018477)". The record is from RNAcentral. Lineage: Eukaryota; Viridiplantae; Streptophyta; Magnoliopsida; Arecales; Arecaceae.